Long non-coding RNA from Dipodomys ordii (Ord's kangaroo rat), 605 nucleotides. RefSeq lists it as uncharacterized. The record is from RefSeq and is a predicted model, not a curated record. NCBI's taxonomy places the organism in Eukaryota, Metazoa, Chordata, Mammalia, Rodentia, Heteromyidae. The transcript is spliced from 3 exons.
AAUUGAUCCCAGGGCUUCAUGCAUGUGAGUGCUGGAUAGAAGCCAUGGCCUCACACAUAGGCAACUCCAGAUGCUAUUCACGUGAUUGUGGCCUGUGCUACAGUCCCUGACUUUUGUCACAGCGGCAGGAUUGAUGCAAAGGAGCCCCAUUUUCAAGCCCUGACUCCAGAGGGGACAGAAAAGCCCUGGAGCCCCAGUCGCUGUUGUAUGGAGACAAUCCUGGACUUGUGUGAGCCUCAGAAAGCCUAGAACCAGGAGAGCUGGCCCAGAGUCAACCUUCUUAGGUCCCCAGUGAAGAUACCAGGCCGCACACUUCAGAGACCAUGAGGACUUCCGUGGAGGUCCUCUCCUGCUGUGCCAAGGAGAGUGACAUCUCCACAACUCAGCAAUAACUACGAGAAGUCUGAGCUUAUGUUCCUUCACUGCUAAGAAUUUCCUCUACAGCGUAUGUGCACAUUGUCUGAUGUGAAGAGACUCAUGGAGAUAGGCCACACAGUAAUGUUUACAAGUAGCAAAGGCUGGAGAUAGCCCCUAUACCCAGAGACAUUCUGAGUUUUGUUUUGUUUUUUUGGUGAGUCAUGGGGCUUGAACUCUGGGCUUGGGCG